This is a long non-coding RNA of Amphiprion ocellaris (clown anemonefish), 3991 nucleotides long. The record is from Ensembl. Lineage: Eukaryota; Metazoa; Chordata; Actinopteri; Pomacentridae.
GACUGGUCAGACCAUAGAUAAUGUGGAAGACAGCGCGCUAGCGGAGCUAGUCUAUGUAUAUCGAUGGUCAGCACGUCUGGUAGCAUCUCUGGCUGCUGUUGACCUUGUUUUUGGAGUAAAACACGGUGGAAGCUGAAUUAGUGAGGAUGACUCCUGCUCCUGUCAUCUCUAAGCUCCUCCCACAUCUUUACCUGCACAUGAGGAAAAUCACUCCUGUAGAAUGCAGAUGUUCAGAGGGAGAUGAUGCCACAUCUGGUCCAGCUGAUGGAAGGUCUUGAAGUUCUCUGACUGGCCUCGACUGAAGAUGGUCGUCUCACUGGAUUUAAGGUUCAGAUGCUCAGUAACAAACUCCACCAAUGUGCCAACAGGGAAGCUUUAGGUUUAUUAAAUGUUGCUAUGAAGGUAUCGCUGUUUUUCUUUGUGAAUGCAAUGUGCUCCAACUGAAACUUGAAUUAGAACUUAGAAGUAAAUCCUUCCAUCUGUAAGGAUUUAGUUGCAUUAAUAACCUCAUAACAUUCUAAUUUUUAUUCCAGUGUUGGCUGGAAAUAGAAUCUCUGUAUUGAUUCAGGUAAAAACUGAACUUCACAGCAUGUUGAAGCAAAACAACCAGAUGAAAACUGUGAUGGUGUUGGAUUGUCAGACCGUAAUGUUGCAGCUCAAAGCAGCUUUUCUAUCUCAGUUCAUUGUGACAUUCAGCUAUGAAUCAACACAGCAGAUGGUGAUCCAUGCUGUGGAAGUCUCACGUCUCCUGAUUUAAUGGAGCUGCUUUGCACUUUUUACACUGUUUAUUCACCAACACUUUAUUUAAUAAAAGUCCAUCUAGUUUUCAUGAGGAAUGUGAUGUUUUGAUUUCUCUGUGAAUAACUGCAGUCUAAUGGAACAGCUGGAAUUGUAACAUCUGUCCUGAUAUUGAUCAUGAAGUAUUGAUCAGAAUGAUCAGAUGAGUUUGUUUUUACUGCCAGCUACCAUUCAGUCUGAGAUAUUAAGAAUAAUUUAAUGUGCAUAAUGUGGAAAUGAACAGAUUUUAUUUUUAUUUAUUCCUACAGCUGCUGCAGGUUCCAAAGUUCCAAAUUUAGUCUCACAAUCACAGACAACAAAUAUUAUCUGAAAGUCGGGUUAUUGUUGUUUAUCAGCACAAUACAAAAAGAUUAAUGUUAGAAAUAUUCCAGUUAAGACUCUAGAAUAUCAUGAUUUAUGUAAAUUUAACUCACUAAUAUGAAUGUUCAGGUUAACAUAGUGCAGUGAUUUUUAUUAUGCAAGUUUAGCUGAUUAAAGUUUGACUCUGCACUACAAUAUUAUUUAAAUUUACACCAUUAUUAUAAUAUUUAGGGUCAGACCCUACAGUAUUGAGAUUAAGAAAUCAAAUAUUCUAUAAAAUGUAAAUACACUGAACUCAUUUGGAUUUAUUUAAGUGAGACUCUACAAUAUUAUUUGACACAAAUCUAUCUAAAUCAAAAUUUUAAUAAUUUUCAUGCCAAACAUUUACUGGACUGAUUUAAAUAUUAAAAUCACUCCUUUCUAAUCCUCUGCUGUACGUUCAAACCUGAGGCUUAAAUAGAAACACACAAGUAUCUGAUUGAAGGAACUUCUGCAGAGUCCUGGUUCCAGAACAUGAUGAUAGAACUAUAGACAAACUUUAACAAAAGCUGCCUGAGAGUUUACAGGUUUUUAUGUUGGAUUUCUUCAGUAAUUUAAUGAGCGUUAUCAGCAAAAAUCAAGUGUUCAUUUGAUGAACUUCAUUUCCUAAAACAUCCAGAAUUGGAGCUCAUAUCUUUGGCAGCUGUAAAGUUUCUGCUCCUUCAAAGUUCACAACACAAUGAAUGAAUUCCUAAAACACUCUCAAUGCUGGAGAGCGUUUGAUGCUGAAGCAGUGAUCAGUUUUUCUGUUUCUUCUCUAGAGAUGCACAAUGAGGGACGUCUGCAGCGACUGAGAAAGAGUCUCACCACAUCCUGACAUGAGGAAAAAGACUUUUUUGAAGACUACAAUGAGAAAAACUAUCAGACAGCAGACGGCUGCAUUCAAGGUGAGCUCUGAACAUUUAAUCUGGAACAGGAAUUCAAUAACGGCAGCAUGAGCUUCAUUUCAGUCUGUAGCUGCUGAAUUCAUGGAUGAAUCAUCUGGCACUAGAGAGGAAGACCAUCAAACAUCCACAUCAGCUGAUGGAGGUCCAAGAGUCUCACCAAACAAACAACCUACAGAGUGAAGACCUCAAAUCUGAUUGGACGGCCUCCUAUUCAGCCACAUGUGUGAACAAAUGCCUCUAAGCUGAUUUGUUUUCUAAAAUAAAUCUAGUUUGAGUCCUAAUCUAUGCCUGUGUGUUUGCUUCUUUAUGCUGCUGUUAACAGUUUAGGCUGUUAGAUUGUUCCAGAUAAGACAAGUACAAGAUUCUUCAGAGCCGUUCUACCACGAGCCUGACAGGAAGAACUCCAACAGCUACUGAAUGUUCCUGUGGUCCCCUCAAGGCUACAGGAGGAGUCCUACGAGGACGAGCCGGUCCACCUGAUGGUGGCCAGUUGCUGCGGUUCAAAGCCAACACCGACUACGUGGACUUCUACUGGACCACACGGAGGCCUUCAAACCGGACCAACAAGUUCACCGACUCCCCGACUCGUGGGUCUGAGGACGCCGCCGAGCCUCGGUCCAGCCGGCCUCCUGUCUGUGGGUGUUUGAGUGCUGAGAGGUUUGUGGAUGCAUGUGAACGUGUCUGUGUUGAAACAGCAGCUUUUGACUCACUAACGCCGGGAAAACCCAAGAAUUCCUUUAUUUGUGACUUCCACUAAAAAAACUGAUGAAAAUAAGUUUGCCAGAGUUCUGACUGAUAACAGAUUAUUAAAUAAUGAUAAUAAUCGUUUAAAUAUUCCUUUAAACAAUCCUUUUAGGUCUACAUUUCCUUUACACUGACUUCUUGGUACAUGUACAAGUAUUUUGGGUGGAAUAUACCAAUAAGCCUAAUGUUCAAGGGUUUUUCUGGGAAUAUACCAUUAAACCAACCUUUUAGGUAAAUGUUCCAGGAUGUUGGGUAGAAUAUACCAUCAGAUAAACCUUUUAGGUCUACAUUGGAAAAUUUUAGAGUAGAAUAUUACUCCAAACUAUCCUUUAGGUCUACAUUUAAGGUGGAAUACUACUUUACACCAAGAUUUUUUUGGUCUACAUUGAAGGAUUUUAGGUGGAAUAUUCCUUUGAACAAACUUUUUAAGUUUAUGUUCAAGGAUGCUGGGUGGAAUAUACCAUCAGACCAACCUCCAAGGUCUACAGUAGUGAAUUUUAGGUGGAAUAAACCAUUAAACUCACCUUUUAGGUAUACAUUGGAGGAUUUAAGGUGGAAUUUUCUUCUAGACCAUCUUUUAGUCUGCAUUUAAGGAUGUUUAGGAUGGUAUAUUCUACUAAACCAACUUCUCAGGUCUACAUUUCAGGUGGAAUAUUCCUCCAUACUAACUUUUUUGGUCAACAUUGAAGGAUUUUUUCUAAACCACCCUUUCGGGUCUAUAUUUGAGGUUUUAGGUGGAAUAUUCCUUUUAACCAGCCCCUCAGGUCUCUUUGAGGAUUUUGGAUGGAAUACUCGGUUAAACCGACAUUUUAGGUGCAUGUCCAAGGAUUUUUGGUGGAAUGUUCCUUUAAGGUGGAUGUUUGAGGACCUUGUAGGUGGAAUACUUCCUGACACCAACCUUUUAGGUCAACAUUCAAAGAUUUAAGGUGGAAUAUUCCUUUAAACCAACCUAAAUUUCACCUCAAACCUCAAUCCAGACUCCUCAUAAUGACAUUUGAGAUUGAUGCUGCUGUUAUUUGUUUAGUCCAGACUAAAUGACAGAAAUCCACAACUGUAAUUUUAUUUCAGGACUCGGUUAUUAAAUGUCAAAACAAUCCAUGUGACUCUAAAAACUCAACAGCUUUACAAACUCUAAGAUUAAACUCUCCACAAGGAUCCAAAAUAAGUUGGACUUCUACAUGAGAGCUUUAAUUAUUCUUCAUCUACUUCUUGAAAAGUUUGGU